CUAAGUUUGAUGGCGACCGGCGCACGGGUGAGUAACACGUAUCCAACCUGCCGAUGACUCGGGGAUAGCCUUUCGAAAGAAAGAUUAAUACCCGAUGGCAUAGUUCUUCCGCAUGGUAGAACUAUUAAAGGAUUUCGGUCAUCGAUGGGGAUGCGUUCCAUUAGGUUGUUGGCGGGGUAACGGCCCACCAAGCCUUCGAUGGAUAGGGGUUCUGAGAGGAAGGUCCCCCACAUUGGAACUGAGACACGGUCCAAAGUCCUACGGGAGGCAGCAU
RNAcentral lists this ribosomal RNA (274 nucleotides) under uncultured bacterium. Its description in RNAcentral is "partial 16S ribosomal RNA". It matches the Rfam family "Bacterial small subunit ribosomal RNA", at positions 79 to 353 of the family's 1533-position model. The record is from RNAcentral.